This is a long non-coding RNA of Hyla sarda, 268 nucleotides long. RefSeq lists it as uncharacterized. NCBI's taxonomy places the organism in Eukaryota, Metazoa, Chordata, Amphibia, Anura, Hylidae. The transcript is spliced from 3 exons. The record is from RefSeq and is a predicted model, not a curated record.
CUGAGCUGAGGUACAGUGUAGACAAGUCUGAGGAGUCUGUGGAGUGUUCCUGAAGGAGGCCUGGUCCAGCAACCAGGCAUCUACUUCAAGUUAACCCCUGCACUGUCGGUGAAAGUCAAAGCCAAUGAGAUUGGUGCUCCUCACCAGUGGACCUCCACUGAUCAAACCUACUGACACAGAACAUACCCAUUUGAGCUCGGUCUUGUCACUAUUUUAAUGGGUGGGGAGAUUCUGCAUAUGGAUGAGGUGUCCACAGCUUCUGCCUUAU